RNAcentral lists this ribosomal RNA (309 nucleotides) under uncultured bacterium. Its description in RNAcentral is "partial 16S ribosomal RNA". It matches the Rfam family "Bacterial small subunit ribosomal RNA", at positions 504 to 808 of the family's 1533-position model. The record is from RNAcentral.
AGAGACAGCAGUCGCCGCGGUAAAACGGAGGGUGCAAGCGUUAAUCGGAAUUACUGGGCGUAAAGCGCACGCAGGCGGUCUGACAAGUCAGAUGUGAAAUCCCCGGGCUUAACCUGGGAACUGCAUUUGAAACUGUCAGGCUGGAGUCUUGUAGAGGGGGGUGGAAUUCCAGGUGUAGCGGUGAAAUGCGUAGAGAUCUGGAGGAAUACCGGUGGCGAAGGCGGCCCCCUGGACAAAGACUGACGCUCAGGUGCGAAAGCGUGGGAGCAAACAGGAUUAGAGACCCCAGUAGUCCCUGUCUCUUAUACA